This 734-nucleotide unclassified non-coding RNA is filed under the name uncultured Prochlorococcus sp. RNAcentral's name for it is "partial may contain 16S ribosomal RNA, 16S-23S ribosomal RNA intergenic spacer, and 23S ribosomal RNA". The stretch from base 331 to 403 matches the Rfam family "tRNA". The record is from RNAcentral. Lineage: Bacteria; Bacillati; Cyanobacteriota; Cyanophyceae; Synechococcales; Prochlorococcaceae.
CGCCGAAGGUGGGGCUGAUGACUGGGGUGAAGUCGUAACAAGGUAGCCGUACCGGAAGGUGCGGCUGGAUCACCUCCUAACAGGGAGACAAUAAAUUGAUUGUGAUGUCUAAGUUUUUUAUUCUUAGGCCGCAAUCCUGUCACCUUAAGGUCGAUCGGUACCUCAGAUUUUUGAAUUAGUUUUAUAAUUGAUUCUUUGAUUUCAGUUCCUAAACUUGUCUAGGUCACACCCAACAAAGGUUUCUCCUGGGCCAUUAGCUCAGGUGGUUAGAGCGCACCCCUGAUAAGGGUGAGGUCCCUGGUUCAAGUCCAGGAUGGCCCAUUCGUUGUUGGGGGUAUAGCUCAGUUGGUAGAGCGCCUGCUUUGCAAGCAGGAUGUCAGCGGUUCGAGUCCGCUUACCUCCACUGAAAACUAUCCUGAUAACUAAAUUUCUGGAGAAAAAAAUUGUAGAUGUGGCUUAGAAUUGUCUAUUUGAAAAGAACCUAGCUUCUUGUCAUCUUUUUAUAGUUGAUAAAAUGCUGGGCUCGCAUGGAUUAUUUCCAUGAGAAUUCAGUAGAACCUUGAAAACUGCAUAGAUUAGAAAGAAUAAAGCAUCUCAUGGAUGCAUAGUUCUGUUUUUAUAAUUUAGCCUUAAAACUAAAUUAUUUAAUUCUAGAAUUCAUGUUUAAUUCUUGAGUAAUAGCCGAGCACAAUUGAUUUUGUGAUUGUAUUUAAGGUCAAGCUACAAAGGGCUCA